GGAUGGGAGGGCAGUCUGGCUGGCCAGGUGGAUGACCCUGUCCCCCUUGUGGCUCCUGUGUGUCCCUUCUGAAGCAGAGGAAGAGCACCUAAGAGGAGAUCAGGUCGCUCGGGCAAGGAUGUGUGAGUAGCUGUGCUCUCCUGGAAGCUCCAAGCCAGCUCUCAAGGUCAUAAUGAUGCCCACUAGAGGAACAAAGCUUCCAUUGGUGUGGCCAUGGGGGAAGCACGGAUU
This is a non-coding RNA of Cavia porcellus (domestic guinea pig), 231 nucleotides long. NCBI's taxonomy places the organism in Eukaryota, Metazoa, Chordata, Mammalia, Rodentia, Caviidae. The record is from Rfam.